RNAcentral lists this ribosomal RNA (498 nucleotides) under uncultured bacterium. RNAcentral describes it as "partial 16S ribosomal RNA". It matches the Rfam family "Bacterial small subunit ribosomal RNA", at positions 28 to 508 of the family's 1533-position model. The record is from RNAcentral.
GAUGAACGCUGGCGGCGUGCCUAAUACAUGCAAGUCGAGCGAACGGACGAGAAGCUUGCUUCUCUGAUGUUAGCGGCGGACGGGUGAGUAACACGUGGAUAACCUACCUAUAAGACUGGGAUAACUUCGGGAAACCGGAGCUAAUACCGGAUAAUAUUUUGAACCGCAUGGUUCAAAAGUGAAAGGCGGUCUUGCUGUCACUUAUAGAUGGAUCCGCGCUGCAUUAGCUAGUUGGUAAGGUAACGGCUUACCAAGGCAACGAUGCAUAGCCGACCUGAGAGGGUGAUCGGCCACACUGGAACUGAGACACGGUCCAGACUCCUACGGGAGGCAGCAGUAGGGAAUCUUCCGCAAUGGGCGAAAGCCUGACGGAGCAACGCCGCGUGAGUGAUGAAGGUCUUCGGAUCGUAAAACUCUGUUAUUAGGGAAGAACAUAUGUGUAAGUAACUGUGCACAUCUUGACGGUACCUAAUAAGAAAGCCACGGCUAACUACGUGC